UAAGGAAUAUUGGUCAAUGGACGCAAGUCUGAACCAGCCAUGCCGCGUGGAGGAUUAAGGCCCUCUGGGUUGUAAACUCCUUUUAUCUGGGAAGAAAUCCAUAUAUUCUUAUAUGGUUGACGGUACCAGAGGAAUAAGCACCGGCUAACUCCGUGCCAGCAGCCGCGGUAAUACGGAGGGUGCAAGCGUUAUCCGGAUUCACUGGGUUUAAAGGGUGCGUAGGCGGGUAAGUAAGUCCGUGGUGAAAUCUCUGAGCUUAACUCAGAAACUGCCGUGGAUACUAUUUGCCUUGAAUAUUGUGGAGGUGAGCGGAAUAUGUCAUGUAGCGGUGAAAUGCUUAGAUAUGACAUAGAACACCAAUUGCGAAGGCAGCUCACUACGCAAUCAUUGACGCUGAGGCACGAAAGCGUGGGGAUCAAACAGG
Molecule: ribosomal RNA, 424 nt
Filed under: uncultured bacterium
Lineage: Bacteria
Description: bacterial SSU rRNA
Rfam family: Bacterial small subunit ribosomal RNA
Source: RNAcentral